CUGGCGGUGGAGAAGGAGCUCGGCUUCACCAAGAAGCAGGAUAUCGAGGCCUACGGCAUCGCCGAGUUCAACGCCCGCUGCCGGG
This 85-nucleotide transfer RNA is filed under the name Kutzneria sp. CA-103260. Its description in RNAcentral is "tRNA-Trp". Lineage: Bacteria; Bacillati; Actinomycetota; Actinomycetes; Pseudonocardiales; Pseudonocardiaceae. The record is from RNAcentral.